Hippocampus comes (tiger tail seahorse) is the source of this 1504-nucleotide long non-coding RNA. RefSeq lists it as uncharacterized. Lineage: Eukaryota; Metazoa; Chordata; Actinopteri; Syngnathiformes; Syngnathidae. The record is from RefSeq and is a predicted model, not a curated record. The transcript has 2 exons.
UAAAUGCACGACCCUUUGGGGUUGAUUUUAAAUGUAUUUAUUUCGAUAUUAUUGCACGGCUGUGAGCCGAAGGACAUAAAGUUGGACAGUCGACUGGGAGUGGUAGUCCUUUGAUGCGUGUCGCAUAGAAGUGGCGUCAUUAAGCAGCAGCCAACGAAAAAAUAGCCAGCUGAUGACGUCGCUCUCAGGAGACCAGUUUGCGUGCGGUUUUGCCUCGAAUGGCCAUCCUGACUUUGUUGUUUGCCAACACAGCCUGAAACGCACCGCUAGAGUCUGUGACCAAAGACUGCCAUUUCUCUCACUCUUGAUGCGAUGCCAACAUUUCCGUAGCAACAUUGAGGUUCUCAUGAUUGGUACUUGGACAAAAGCAGAGAAAUGUCACCCCUGUCAAGACCGCCAGCAGCUGAUCAGCCGAUGUGAGCUCAGCUGAGGUCCAGUUACAGCAGCUGUCACUCACACAUCACGAUGGAAGCCUUCCCUUCCACGCGCGUAUGGAAUGUUCACCUCACACGCAGCCACAAAGUAGCCCACCUGAAUGGCUUGAAACAACUGCAAUGGACAAAGGAGACCUGAAGGACUUUCAAAAACUGGAAAUGCUACUGGAGGUGAGAAAGACCCGAAGGAAGGACAUGGAACUUGGAAAACUGAAGGACCUGAAAGAACUGAAAAUAAUCUUGCACACUUGAGAAUAUGAGGGAUUGAAGGGGGGCAGAGAACCUCAGACAUCUGAAAAUGGCCCCAAAGAUUUGGAAGGAACUGAGACGACUACUUGAGAAUAGAAAGACCUGAAGUGGUUAAAAGAACUGAAUGUGACCUCCAAAAGCUGAAGGACUUAAAAGAGCUGAACUGGCUCCUGGAAACUGGGAACCUUGAGGACUUGAAGGAACGUGUCCCGAAGACCGCGACAGACCUCGGAAAACUCGGACCAGGAGCGCGAUGGACGCAUCUUUGCGAUUUUCUGCGCGAGCUUUUAUCAGAGCCGAGUUGACCCACUUGAUAAAGAGGCUGAGCAGCAAGUGAGAAGCGAGCUUUUUAUCUUAUCCUAUUUUUGCUUCCACGCCUUUCUGUCUUCUAUCUGGACUUAUUGGCGUUUAUCUGAUCUUGAAGUGAAGUCUGCACGGCCAGGCACUUUGGAUUAGCUAAAUGGCUUUCAAGCGGAAUUGCAACAAUUCCUCAACGAAUGAUCGAUGAUCAACUUAAUCCACACCGGUUUGGAGAAUCGGUUUGUGUGUUUCGAGAGCUGGUUUGACUCCAGAUUGUCGGCAUUUCAACCUCUCAACAGUAAAUAUUGACGACUGACUACUUAUCUUUUGUGUUGACUCAAAUAAGACUUUUGCAAACGCUUGCUUUUACUUUGCAAAACAAUGAUCAAUGUUUUGGGCUGAUUUCGAGGCCAAUGUUAUGGACCGGACUAGCUGCUGAAUCAUCAUUUCUUUGCUCAUGGAUUUUCUGCACUGUCAAUUCAAAAUAUUGUCCUGCCGUUGAAUAAAAGAGGCACUUAAAA